GACGAACGCUGGCGGCGCGCCUAACACAUGCAAGUCGAACGGAGCUGAGAGAAGCUUGCUUUUCUUAGCUUAGUGGCGAACGGGUGAGUAACGCGUGAGUAACCUGCCCUGGAGUGGGGGACAACAGUUGGAAACGACUGCUAAUACCGCAUAAGCCCACGAUCCGGCAUCGGAUUGAGGGAAAAGGAUUUAUUCGCUUCAGGAUGGACUUGCGUCGAAUUAGCUAGUUGGUGAGGUAACGGCCCACCAAGGCGACGAUUGGUAGCCGGACUGAGAGGGUGAACGGUGACAUUGGGACUGAGACACGGCCCAGACUCCUACGGGAGGCAGGAGUGGGGGAUAUUGCAGAAGGGGGGAAACGCUGAUGCAGCGACGCCGCGUGGAGGAAGAAGGUUUUGGGAUUGUAAACUCCUGUCGUUAGGGACGAUAAUGACGGUACCUAACAAGAAAGCACCGGCUAACUACGUG
Molecule: ribosomal RNA, 468 nt
Filed under: uncultured bacterium
Lineage: Bacteria
Description: partial 16S ribosomal RNA
Rfam family: Bacterial small subunit ribosomal RNA
Source: RNAcentral